GACGAACGCUGGCGGCGUGCUUAACACAUGCAAGUCGAACGGAAAGGCCCUGCUUUUGUGGGGUGCUCGAGUGGCGAACGGGUGAGUAACACGUGAGUAACCUGCCCUUGACUUUGGGAUAACUUCAGGAAACUGGGGCUAAUACCGGAUAGGAGCUCCUGCUGCAUGGUGGGGGUUGGAAAGUUUCGGCGGUUGGGGAUGGACUCGCGGCUUAUCAGCUUGUUGGUGGGGUAGUGGCUUACCAAGGCUUUGACGGGUAGCCGGCCUGAGAGGGUGACCGGCCACAUUGGGACUGAGAUACGGCCCAGACUCCUACGGGAGGCAGCAGGGGGGAAUAUUGCACAAUGGGCGGAAGCCUGAUGCAGCAACGCCGCGUGCGGGAUGACGGCCUUCGGGUUUUAAACCGCUUUCGCCUGUGACGAAGCGUGAGUGACGGUAAUGGGUAAAGAAGCACCGGCUAACUACGUG
RNAcentral lists this ribosomal RNA (468 nucleotides) under uncultured bacterium. RNAcentral's name for it is "partial 16S ribosomal RNA". It matches the Rfam family "Bacterial small subunit ribosomal RNA", at positions 28 to 507 of the family's 1533-position model. The record is from RNAcentral.